Molecule: transfer RNA, 60 nt
Filed under: Leuconotis anceps
Lineage: Eukaryota; Viridiplantae; Streptophyta; Magnoliopsida; Gentianales; Apocynaceae
Description: tRNA-Gly
Rfam family: tRNA
About the family: Transfer RNA (tRNA) molecules are approximately 80 nucleotides in length. Their secondary structure includes four short double-helical elements and three loops (D, anti-codon, and T loops). Further hydrogen bonds mediate the characteristic L-shaped molecular structure. tRNAs have two regions of fundamental functional importance: the anti-codon, which is responsible for specific mRNA codon recognition, and the 3' end, to which the tRNAs corresponding amino acid is attached (by aminoacyl-tRNA synthetases). tRNAs cope with the degeneracy of the genetic code in two manners: having more than one tRNA (with a specific anti-codon) for a particular amino acid; and 'wobble' base-pairing, i.e. permitting non-standard base-pairing at the 3rd anti-codon position.
Source: RNAcentral
GCGGGUAUAGUUUAGUGGUAAAACCAAGCUAACGAUGCGGGUUCGAUUCCUGCUACCCGC